This is a non-coding RNA of Odocoileus virginianus texanus, 371 nucleotides long. NCBI's taxonomy places the organism in Eukaryota, Metazoa, Chordata, Mammalia, Artiodactyla, Cervidae. The record is from RefSeq and is a predicted model, not a curated record.
ACCGCGGCUUCGCUGCGGACGCAGCGCCCAGGCCCCGGCGGCUUCGGGAGCCAGCGGGCACCCUUCCUCCCUGCGAGAUUCCUUUCCAUUUCAAGGAGGAAAGUCAAGAUAUUUUUACUCGGUGGAAGAAUGAUGUAGUUUCAUCCUAACCUUCUUUUCUUAUGCUUCCAGAUCCCCUCUGGAAGGUUACGAUGGGAAUGAGCCUGACCACUUGGACGGUUUCCGCGACUUGUUGCCUCUGCCCGCAAGUUCGUCCUUCAGAAGUCAGGAAAGUGCUGCGCGUGGCGGUGGCCUCCCAGGAGCAAGGCGUGGCGGUGUAGGCAGGAAUGGAUGAGAGCGGCUCGGGGGGCCUCGGCCGCGUGCUCCCGGAG